Molecule: ribosomal RNA, 1403 nt
Filed under: Alexandrium tamarense species complex group I
Lineage: Eukaryota; Dinophyceae; Gonyaulacales; Pyrocystaceae
Description: eukaryotic LSU rRNA
Rfam family: Eukaryotic large subunit ribosomal RNA (bases 542-1403)
Source: RNAcentral
AACCUGCUGAAGGAUCAUGUGCACACGUGUGUACACUAACCUGCUAAUGAUAUUGUGGGCGGUGUAAGCUUGCAUUACAAUAAUAUUACAUGUGCCCUGGGCUGUGUGACUUGUUUUGCAAACAUUCGUUAUGCAUUGCAUAAACAAGUUUGGUAAACUGAGUGGUGCUGUGUUUGUGUACGAUGAUUAGGUUUUGCAACGAAUGUUUUAGUUCAAUACAUGAUGAAUAAUGCAGGACAAUGCAGUAUGCAUUGUGAAUUGCAGAAUUCCGUGAGCUAACAUAUGUUUGAAUGUUACUUGUGCCUUUGGGAUAUUCUUGAAGGUUUGCUUGAUUCAAUGCCAAUUACCUUCCAUAUGCAAUACUGCUGUUUAGCAUUGCUGUGAACAAAGAGAGUCAAUGUGUAUUGCAUUGAACCUGGAUGUGUUGCAGCUGCUUUGCAACCUAAACAUGGUUGAUUGGGGGCAAACUUGUUUCGUCAUGUGCUGGUUGCUGUUUUGUAAAAUGUGAACAACUGAGACAAGCUGAAGACUUGCAUAUGCUUAGCAUGAAGUGAAGCACAUACACCUGCUGAAUUUAAGCAUAUAAGUAAGUGGUGGAAAUUAAACCAAAUGGGAUAUCUUUAGUAAUUGCGAAUGAACAAGGAUAUGCUUAGCUUGACAAAUGGAGCUAUUGGCUUUGAAUUGUAUUGUGGAAAUGUAUUACCAACAGAGGUGCAGGUGCCAGCCUAUUGAAAUAAAGCGUCAAUGAGGGUGAGAAUCCUGUUUGUCAUGUGCAGCCCUUUGUGCACGGUGUAUAUUUGCUGAGUCACACUCCUUGGCAUUGGAAUGCAAAGUGGGUGGUAAGUUUCAUGUAAAGGUAAACAUGCAAUUGAGACUGAUAGCACACAAGUACCAUGAGGGAAAUAUGAAAAGGACUUUGAAAAGAGAAUUAAAUGAGUUUGUAUUUGCUGAACACAAAGUAAACAGACUUGAUUUGCUUGGUGGGAGUGUUGCACUUGCUUGACAAGAGCUUUGGGCUGUGGGUGUGAUGAUUCUUUCUUUGCAUGCCAGUUUCUAUGUGUACAUCUGAUUACCUUUGCACAUGAAUGAUAAGUCUCCUGUGGGGGGUGUAUUGCAUGUGCAUGUAAUGAUGUGUGUUUUGAUAAAUGUGUAUGGUGUAUGUGUUUGUGUUCAUGUGAUUGGGGAUGCUUCCUUCCUUGGACUUACAAGCCCUGACACACACAUGCUGGCAAAAUGAUUAUGCUUGACCCGUCUUGAAACACGGACCAAGGAGUCUAACAUAUGUGCAAAGUUUUGAAGGUGGUAUACCUGUGUGUGCAAUGAUAGUGUCAGCUGGGAUAUGUGCACCAGCACCCAUUUAAUGAGCGGACUGAGGUUUGAGUUGGAGCAUAUCUAUUAGGACC